RNAcentral lists this ribosomal RNA (435 nucleotides) under Escherichia coli. RNAcentral's name for it is "bacterial SSU rRNA". It matches the Rfam family "Bacterial small subunit ribosomal RNA", at positions 1110 to 1533 of the family's 1533-position model. RNAcentral also lists the same sequence under 4 other names. Lineage: Bacteria; Pseudomonadati; Pseudomonadota; Gammaproteobacteria; Enterobacterales; Enterobacteriaceae. The record is from RNAcentral.
CUUUGUUGCCAGCGGUCCGGCCGGGAACUCAAAGGAGACUGCCAGUGAUAAACUGGAGGAAGGUGGGGAUGACGUCAAGUCAUCAUGGCCCUUACGACCAGGGCUACACACGUGCUACAAUGGCGCAUACAAAGAGAAGCGACCUCGCGAGAGCAAGCGGACCUCAUAAAGUGCGUCGUAGUCCGGAUUGGAGUCUGCAACUCGACUCCAUGAAGUCGGAAUCGCUAGUAAUCGUGGAUCAGAAUGCCACGGUGAAUACGUUCCCGGGCCUUGUACACACCGCCCGUCACACCAUGGGAGUGGGUUGCAAAAGAAGUAGGUAGCUUAACCUUCGGGAGGGCGCUUACCACUUUGUGAUUCAUGACUGGGGUGAAGUCGUAACAAGGUAACCGUAGGGGAACCUGCGGUUGGAUCACCUCCUUACCUUAAAGAAGC